This 677-nucleotide ribosomal RNA is filed under the name uncultured archaeon. Its description in RNAcentral is "bacterial SSU rRNA". It matches the Rfam family "Archaeal small subunit ribosomal RNA", at positions 321 to 999 of the family's 1478-position model. The record is from RNAcentral.
CCCUAUGGGGUGCACCAGGCGAGAAAACUUUGCAAUGUGCGAAAGCACGACAAGGUUAAUCCGAGUGUUUUCUGCUAAAGAAAUCUUUUGUCAGUCCUAAAAACACUGAUGAAUAAGGGGUGGGCAAGUUCUGGUGUCAGCCGCCGCGGUAAAACCAGCACCUCAAGUGGUCAGGAGGAUUAUUGGGCCUAAAGCAUCCGUAGCCUGCUUUGUAAGUUUUCGGUUAAAUCCAUGUGCUCAACGUAUGGGCUGCCGGGAAUACUGCACAGCUAGGGAGUGGGAGAGGUAGACGGUACUCGGUAGGAAGGGGUAAAAUCCUUUGAUCUAUUGAUGACCACCUGUGGCGAAGGCGGUCUACCAGAACACGUCCGACGGUGAGGGAUGAAAGCUGGGGGAGCAAACCGGAUUAGAUACCCGGGUAGUCCCAGCUGUAAACUAUGCAAACUCAGUGAUGCGUUGGCUUGUAGCCAGUGCAGUGCCGCAGGGAAGCCGUUAAGUUUGCCGCCUGGGAAGUACGUACGCAAGUAUGAAACUUAAAGGAAUUGGCGGGGGAGCACCACAAGGGGUGAAGCCUGCGGUUCAAUUGGAGUCAACGCCAGAAAUCUUACCCGGAGAGACAGCAGAAUGAAGGUCAAGCUGAAGACUUUACCAGACAAGCUGAGAAGUGGUGCAUGGCC